CAUGGUUGUCGUCAGCUCGUGUCGUGAGAUGUUGGGUUAAGUCCCGCAACGAGCGCAACCCUUGUCUUUAGUUGCCAUCAUUAAGUUGGGCACUCUAGAGAGACUGCCAGGGAUAACCUGGAGGAAGGUGGGGAUGACGUCAAAUCAUCAUGCCCCUUAUGCUUAGGGCUACACACGUGCUACAAUGGGUAGUACAGAGGGUUGCCAAGCCGUAAGGUGGAGCUAAUCCCUUAAAGCUACUCUCAGUUCGGAUUGUAGGCUGAAACUCGCCUACAUGAAGCUGGAGUUACUAGUAAUCGCAGAUCAGAAUGCUGCGGUGAAUGCGUUCCCGGGUCUUGUACACACCGCCCGUCACACCACGGGAGUUGGAGACGCCCGAAGCCGAUUAUCUAACCUUUUGGAAGAAGUCGUCGAAGGUGGAAUCAAUAACUGGGGUGAAGUCGUAACAAGGUAGCCGUAUCGGAA
Molecule: ribosomal RNA, 465 nt
Filed under: Clostridioides difficile
Lineage: Bacteria; Bacillati; Bacillota; Clostridia; Peptostreptococcales; Peptostreptococcaceae
Description: bacterial SSU rRNA
Rfam family: Bacterial small subunit ribosomal RNA
Source: RNAcentral